AUUCAUUUAGGAUUUUAAAACAAUCUAUCACCUAUCUUUGACCAUAUGGACUAAACUUGAUAUCCACCAAUAGACACUGAUCCCUGCAAGUCAACAGCAUAAAGAGUGGUAAAGUCAGUUCUGCAAAAGAUGAAAUGUUUUUAAUGUG
This 148-nucleotide long non-coding RNA is filed under the name Pongo abelii (Sumatran orangutan). RNAcentral's name for it is "lincRNA". The record is from RNAcentral. Lineage: Eukaryota; Metazoa; Chordata; Mammalia; Primates; Hominidae.